This 1127-nucleotide ribosomal RNA is filed under the name Bacillus subtilis. RNAcentral's name for it is "bacterial SSU rRNA". It matches the Rfam family "Bacterial small subunit ribosomal RNA", at positions 39 to 1154 of the family's 1533-position model. Lineage: Bacteria; Bacillati; Bacillota; Bacilli; Caryophanales; Bacillaceae. The record is from RNAcentral.
GGGGGGCGCAGCUAUACAUGCAGUCGAGCGGACAGAUGGGAGCUUGCUCCCUGAAGUUAGCGGCGGACGGGUGAGUAACACGUGGGUAACCUGCCUGUAAGACUGGGAUAACUCCGGGAAACCGGGGCUAAUACCGGAUGGUUGUUUGAACCGCAUGGUUCAAACAUAAAAGGUGGCUUCGGCUACCACUUACAGAUGGACCCGCGGCGCAUUAGCUAGUUGGUGAGGUAACGGCUCACCAAGGCGACGAUGCGUAGCCGACCUGAGAGGGUGAUCGGCCACACUGGGACUGAGACACGGCCCAGACUCCUACGGGAGGCAGCAGUAGGGAAUCUUCCGCAAUGGACGAAAGUCUGACGGAGCAACGCCGCGUGAGUGAUGAAGGUUUUCGGAUCGUAAAGCUCUGUUGUUAGGGAAGAACAAGUACCGUUCGAAUAGGGCGGUACCUUGACGGUACCUAACCAGAAAGCCACGGCUAACUACGUGCCAGCAGCCGCGGUAAUACGUAGGUGGCAAGCGUUGUCCGGAAUUAUUGGGCGUAAAGGGCUCGCAGGCGGUUUCUUAAGUCUGAUGUGAAAGCCCCCGGCUCAACCGGGGAGGGUCAUUGGAAACUGGGGAACUUGAGUGCAGAAGAGGAGAGUGGAAUUCCACGUGUAGCGGUGAAAUGCGUAGAGAUGUGGAGGAACACCAGUGGCGAAGGCGACUCUCUGGUCUGUAACUGACGCUGAGGAGCGAAAGCGUGGGGAGCGAACAGGAUUAGAUACCCUGGUAGUCCACGCCGUAAACGAUGAGUGCUAAGUGUUAGGGGUUUCCGCCCCUUAGUGCUGCAGCUAACGCAUUAAGCACUCCGCCUGGGGAGUACGGUCGCAAGACUGAAACUCAAAGGAAUUGACGGGGGCCCGCACAAGCGGUGGAGCAUGUGGUUUAAUUCGAAGCAACGCGAAGAACCUUACCAGUCUGACAUCCUCUGACAUCCUAGAAGAUAGGACGUCCCCUUCGGGGGCAGAGUGACAGUGGGUGCAUGGAUGUCGUCAGCUCGUGUCGUGAGAUGUUGGGUCAGUCCCGCCACGAGCCGCAACCCUCGAUCUAGUGCAGCAUCAGUUGGGGCAGCUCUAAGGUGACUGACG